Molecule: ribosomal RNA, 424 nt
Filed under: bacterium T-1-48-9D
Lineage: Bacteria
Description: bacterial SSU rRNA
Rfam family: Bacterial small subunit ribosomal RNA
Source: RNAcentral
CCCUUGACGGUAUCUAACCAGAAAGCCACGGCUAACUACGUGCCAGCAGCCGCGGUAAUACGUAGGUGGCAAGCGUUGUCCGGAUUUAUUGGGCGUAAAGCGAGCGCAGGCGGUUUCUUAAGUCUGAUGUGAAAGCCCCCGGCUCAACCGGGGAGGGUCAUUGGAAACUGGGAGACUUGAGUGCAGAAGAGGAGAGUGGAAUUCCAUGUGUAGCGGUGAAAUGCGUAGAUAUAUGGAGGAACACCAGUGGCGAAGGCGGCUCUCUGGUCUGUAACUGACGCUGAGGCUCGAAAGCGUGGGGAGCAAACAGGAUUAGAUACCCUGGUAGUCCACGCCGUAAACGAUGAGUGCUAAGUGUUGGAGGGUUUCCGCCCUUCAGUGCUGCAGCUAACGCAUUAAGCACUCCGCCUGGGGAGUACGACCG